RNAcentral lists this non-coding RNA (848 nucleotides) under Gordonella aff. paravillosa ZS-2018. Its description in RNAcentral is "12S ribosomal RNA". The stretch from base 430 to 842 matches the Rfam family "Microsporidia small subunit ribosomal RNA", at positions 751 to 1303 of the family's 1311-position model. Lineage: Eukaryota; Metazoa; Arthropoda; Malacostraca; Decapoda; Solenoceridae. The record is from RNAcentral.
AUAAAAGUUUUAUCCUGGCUAAUAAAUUCUUAUUUUUAGGUUAAGAGUACAUGAAAGAUUUAACGUGACAAAAAGCUUAUUUGGUUUAAUACUAAAGAGUUAUUAAAAUAGAGGAAUCAAUAAAAAAUUAAUUCUCAGUAUUUAGUGCUAAUUAAUAGAUGAAAGUCAGAAUUGGUAAUCCUAAUAUUAUACCUGGCUAAAAUUUGUGCCAGCAGCCGCGGUUAUACUGAGAGGUAAAUUAAGAAAAGUUCGGUUAAAAAUAAUUAAGUGACUUACAAAAUUAAUUUAAAGGUUCGUAUUGAUAAAGGGUGAAAUCAGUUUUUUAGUGUGCGAAAUGUUAAAUAAUUAGUUGGUGCUGAAGUUGUUAAGGUAUGGGGAUGGACCAGGAUUAGAUACCCUGUUACUCUUUAUUUUAAAUUUAUAAUUACCGGGGUAAUAAACAGUUAUUGUCUUGAAACUCAAAGGAUUUGGCGGUAAUUUAGUCUAUUUAGAGGAACCUGUCCUAUAAUCGAUAGUCCACGAAUAAUCUUACCUUGUUUAGUAUAAAAUCAGCUUGUAUACCGUCAUUAUUAGAUAACUUUAAUAAAAUUUUUAGUUGUUACAAUAAUUGUUUUAAUAUAUUAGAUCAAGGUGCAGUCAAUAAUAAGGAAGAGAUGGGUUACAAUAUAAUAUAUUUAUACGGAUUAAAGUUUUAAAAGUUUUAUGAAGGUGGAUUUAAUAGUAAGAAGAAUUUAAUAAGUUUUUCUGAUUUUAGCUCUAUAUUAUGUACACAUCGCCCGUCGCUCUCGUUAAUUAAAGCGAGAUAAGUCGUAACAUAGUAGGUGUACUGGAAAGUGUACCUAGAAAUU